RNAcentral lists this transfer RNA (73 nucleotides) under Stegodyphus mimosarum. It matches the Rfam family "tRNA". From Rfam's summary of the family: Transfer RNA (tRNA) molecules are approximately 80 nucleotides in length. Their secondary structure includes four short double-helical elements and three loops (D, anti-codon, and T loops). Lineage: Eukaryota; Metazoa; Arthropoda; Arachnida; Araneae; Eresidae. The record is from Rfam by way of RNAcentral.
ACCUUCGUGGUGUAGUGGUCAGCACGCUGGACGCGUAACCGAGAGGUCCGUGGUUCGAUUCCCGGCGAAGGCG